CCUUUGACGUUAGCGGCGGACGGGUGAGUAACACGUGGGUAACCUACCUAUAAGACUGGGAUAACUUCGGGAAACCGGAGCUAAUACCGGAUAAUAUUUAGAACCGCAUGGUUCGAUAGUGAAAGAUGGUUUUGCUAUCACUUAUAGAUGGACCUGCGCCGUAUUAGCUAGUUGGUAAGGUAACGGCUUACCAAGGCGACGAUACGUAGCCGACCUGAGAGGGUGAUCGGCCACACUGGAACUGAGACACGGUCCAGACUCCUACGGGAGGCAGCAGGG
RNAcentral lists this ribosomal RNA (279 nucleotides) under uncultured Staphylococcus sp. RNAcentral's name for it is "partial 16S ribosomal RNA". It matches the Rfam family "Bacterial small subunit ribosomal RNA", at positions 83 to 354 of the family's 1533-position model. The record is from RNAcentral. Lineage: Bacteria; Bacillati; Bacillota; Bacilli; Caryophanales; Staphylococcaceae.